RNAcentral lists this ribosomal RNA (301 nucleotides) under uncultured bacterium. Its description in RNAcentral is "partial 16S ribosomal RNA". It matches the Rfam family "Bacterial small subunit ribosomal RNA", at positions 509 to 807 of the family's 1533-position model. The record is from RNAcentral.
CAGUCGCCGCGGGAAUACAGAGGGUGCAAGCGUUAAUCGGAAUUACUGGGCGUAAAGCGCGCGUAGGUGGUUUGUUAAGUUGGAUGUGAAAGCCCCGGGCUCAACCUGGGAACUGCAUCCAAAACUGGCAAGCUAGAGUACGGUAGAGGGUGGUGGAAUUUCCUGUGUAGCGGUGAAAUGCGUAGAUAUAGGAAGGAACACCAGUGGCGAAGGCGACCACCUGGACUGAUACUGACACUGAGGUGCGAAAGCGUGGGGAGCAAACAGGAUUAGAGACCCGUGUAGUCCCUGUCUCUUAUAC